Molecule: ribosomal RNA, 1371 nt
Filed under: Strigamia maritima
Lineage: Eukaryota; Metazoa; Arthropoda; Chilopoda; Geophilomorpha; Linotaeniidae
Description: 16S ribosomal RNA
Rfam family: Archaeal large subunit ribosomal RNA (bases 928-1257)
Source: RNAcentral
AAACAGGAUUUAGUUGUAAAAAAUAGGCAUUUAUUUUUUGAAUUAAUAUUUACAAGAGGCACACAUCGCCCGUCACUCUCAGGCUUGUUUAUGUUUUUGAGAAAAGUCGUAACAAAGUAGGGGUACUGGAAGGUGCACCUUUAGCUUAAUUUUAAUUUAAUCAAAAUUAUUUUUAAUUUGUCAGCUGAAAAUUAUUUUGUUUUGUGUACUAUUUUUGAUGGGGGAUAAUUGGUUUACUGUGAGGGUGCUUUAUUGUACAGCGUAAAUAUUAAUGGGGUUCUACCUUUUGUAUCAGGGAUUGUCAAAAUAUUGUAUAUUGAUUUUAUAUUUCCCGAAGCUAGUGCGAUAUAGGGUUUUAUAAGGAAAUGUUGAAAAAUUUUGGUUAUAAUAUCUUAGGGGUGAAAUGCUAGGCGCGUCUAGGGUUAUCUGGUUAAUUAGGGUAAAAUUUAAUUUUAAAUUCUUUGGGGUCUUAUUAUAGUUUUUGGUUUUAAGGGGGGAUUUUAUAUUAUUGGGGUAAUCUCUUUAUUUUUGUUUGAUUUUUAAAAAAAAUUUGUAGGCUUAGAAUUAGCUUUCUUAUUAAACUAGGUUAUACUAUGUUUUUGUGAUUUUUAUGUUAUACUUGUUAUUUCUUUUGAAUUUUUUAUGGGGUUUAUAAUGAUGUUAUUAGUAGGUUUAUUAAAAAAUACAAAAAAUUGGCAAAAUUUGUUCUCCCCCGUUUAACAAAAACAUGGGUUAUGGGGUGUGAAUAUUAAAAAAUGGGCCCGCGCCGUGUAUUUAUAACCCCCCCGGGAACCUGACUGUGCAAAAGGAACAAAAACCAUAUUUUUUUAAAUGGGGGCCGGAAAGAAAAGGGUGAGGGGGAGUGGGUUUUUUUGUUUAUUUUAAGAAAUUUAUUUUAUAGAGGAAACACUAUAUUGGUUUUUAAUGAAGAAAAAACCCCCCAAAGCUUUAAAAAUAAUAAAGAGAUUUUUAUUUAUUUUGUUUUUUGGGGGGGCCACAGGUACGAGGUGAUAAUGAUUAUUUUAGAGGUUUGGAUUUUUAGUCGGAGUUUGAUCCAAUAUUUUUGACAUUGAGACAAGCUACUUUGGGGAUAACAGCGUAAUUAGGCCUGAGAGUUCUUAUUGAUGGCAUAGUUUGCGACCUCGAUGUUGAAUUAAGAUACCAUUUUAUUGUAGCUGGUAAUUUUGGGGGUCUGUUCGACCUUAAAAUUCUUACAUGAUUUGGGUUUAGAUCGGCGUAAGCCAGGUCGGUUUCUAUUUUUUAUUUGUUUGUUUUUUUUUUAGUACGAAAGGAAAAAUUGGUUUUAAUUUUUAGUUUUUAAUUGUUAUAAGUUAAAAUUAUAUUUAUUUUAAGUUUGGCAGAGAUUGCUAG